This 73-nucleotide transfer RNA is filed under the name Ixodes scapularis (black-legged tick). It matches the Rfam family "tRNA". From Rfam's summary of the family: Transfer RNA (tRNA) molecules are approximately 80 nucleotides in length. Their secondary structure includes four short double-helical elements and three loops (D, anti-codon, and T loops). Further hydrogen bonds mediate the characteristic L-shaped molecular structure. tRNAs have two regions of fundamental functional importance: the anti-codon, which is responsible for specific mRNA codon recognition, and the 3' end, to which the tRNAs corresponding amino acid is attached (by aminoacyl-tRNA synthetases). tRNAs cope with the degeneracy of the genetic code in two manners: having more than one tRNA (with a specific anti-codon) for a particular amino acid; and 'wobble' base-pairing, i.e. permitting non-standard base-pairing at the 3rd anti-codon position. The record is from Rfam by way of RNAcentral. Lineage: Eukaryota; Metazoa; Arthropoda; Arachnida; Ixodida; Ixodidae.
CUCUGGUUAGCUCAGUUGGUAGAGCGCUCCACUUGUAAUGGAGAGGUCCCGGGUUCGAUACCUGGACCAGGCG